GACGAACGCUGGCGGCGUGCCUAAUACAUGCAAGUAGAACGCUGAAGGAGGAGCUUGCUCUUCUGGAUGAGUUGCGAACGGGUGAGUAACGCGUAGGUAACCUGCCUGGUAGCGGGGGAUAACUAUUGGAAACGAUAGCUAAUACCGCAUAACAGUAGAUGUUGCAUGACAUUUACUUAAAAGGUGCAAUUGCAUCACUACCAGAUGGACCUGCGUUGUAUUAGCUAGUUGGUGGGGUAACGGCUCACCAAGGCGACGAUACAUAGCCGACCUGAGAGGGGGAUCGGCCACACUGGGACUGAGACACGGCCCAGACUCCUACGGGAGGCAGCAGUAGGGAAUCUUCGGCAAUGGACGGAAGUCUGACCGAGCAACGCCGCGUGAGUGAAGAAGGUUUUCGGAUCGUAAAGCUCGGUUGUAAGAGAAGAACGAGUGUGAGAGUGGAAAGUUCACACUGUGACGGUAUCUUAACAGAAAGGGACGGCUAACUACGUG
RNAcentral lists this ribosomal RNA (495 nucleotides) under uncultured bacterium. RNAcentral describes it as "partial 16S ribosomal RNA". It matches the Rfam family "Bacterial small subunit ribosomal RNA", at positions 28 to 507 of the family's 1533-position model. The record is from RNAcentral.